GAGAGGAAGGUGGAGGCUGCGACGGUAAGAGGCGGGGUGCGGGGGGUGUCCGGAAGUACGGGGGGUAAAGGGGUCGUGGGGGGUUUGUGGCGUUGUUCGUGAAAACUCACAACUCAAUUGUGGGCGGGCGGGCGAGACGGGCAGACUGGAGUACUGCAGGGGAGACUGGAAUUCCUGGUGUAGCGGUGGAAUGCGCAGAUAUCAGGAGGAACACCGGUGGCGAAGGCGGGUCUCUGGGCAGUAACUGACGCUGAGGAGCGAAAGCGUGGGGAGCGAACAGGAUUAGAUACCCCGGUAGUC
Molecule: ribosomal RNA, 300 nt
Filed under: uncultured Olsenella sp.
Lineage: Bacteria; Bacillati; Actinomycetota; Coriobacteriia; Coriobacteriales; Atopobiaceae
Description: bacterial SSU rRNA
Rfam family: Bacterial small subunit ribosomal RNA (bases 52-300)
Source: RNAcentral